GCGGUCGUAGUCUAGCUUGGUUAGGACCUCGGCCUCCCACGCCGACGACCCGGGUUCAAAUCCCGGCGACCGCA
RNAcentral lists this transfer RNA (74 nucleotides) under Candidatus Bathyarchaeota archaeon. RNAcentral's name for it is "tRNA-Gly". It matches the Rfam family "tRNA". Rfam says of the family: Transfer RNA (tRNA) molecules are approximately 80 nucleotides in length. Lineage: Archaea; Thermoproteati; Candidatus Bathyarchaeota. The record is from RNAcentral.